AUAGUGCGAGACAAGAAGCUUCUUCCAAGACUCUUCCCUCUCACCUUUUGUGCUAUUUCUAUCAUACGUUUUGCUUUUACAAAUGUUAUAAAGUUCACAAUACACUUUACAGCAUAUGUAAAAAAGCUGUCUUUUAAGAUCAUUACCUUUUAAGAUUAAAUAUAAGAAAACUCUUUUAUGUAUCUUCCUUUUUACCAUUUCCAGAACUCUUCAUUUCUGUACAGCCAAGUAUCCAUUUGAUAUACUUUUUCUGCCUGAAGAAUUCCCUUUGAUAUUUCUCGUAUCACAGGUAACCUCACACACAACGGAACAAAAUGCUGCCUGAUCCUGCACCAUCCCCAUGAGCAGUUACGAUUGGUUUGUUGUGAUCCAUAGGGUUUUCACUGAUGGAUUUUUGGAAGUAGGCCAUGAGUUGGGAACUGGCUUCACUGCAGUUAGCAACAACAACUGUUUCUUGUGUUCAGAGUGGGGCUGGGGUGCCAAGGCCUUUUCUUAUUGUUUGUACUUUACAUUCAGCUUUUUGCAACAUAGAAAGUUUCCCUCUUCAAGCUCUUCUCCCUCCCCUGGUGGUAGACUAGGCCUGUGAUGCGGCAGAAGGGUUCUCUGUUGUCCUGGUCCAGCCUCAGUCUUAGGCAUAUCAUGAGUGUGAGUUUCUUGCCCCUCCCCAUUGGUAGCAGAUUUCUGCUUGGUAUCAGUAUAGGUGCCGCCACACACCUAUCAGUUUGUCGUAUUAUGCUGUCUUUCAUAUUGCUGUGAUGCUGGAAGCUUUGUCACUGGUAUUUCAAAUACCAGCAGGGUGACCCACGGUAGACAGGUUUCACUGGACCUUCUAGACUAAGACAGGCUAGGAAGAAGGACCUGAAAAAAGGACCAUAAAGAUGUUUACCUUUGUUUUAUUGACUAUGCAAAGGCAUUCGACUGUGUAGAUCAUAACAAACUAUGGAUAACACUGCAAAUAAUGGGAAUUCCAGAACACUUAAUAGUAUUCAUGCAAACCUGUACAUAGACCUAGAGUCAGUCACUCAGACAGAACAAGGGCAUACUACAUGGUUUAAAAUCAGGAAAGGUAUGUGUCAGGGUUGUAUCCUUUCACCACACGUAUUCAAUCUGUAUGCUGAGCAAAUAGUCUGAGAAACUGGACUAUAUGAAGAAGAACUCAGCAUCAGGUUGGAGGAAGACUCAUUAACAACCUAUGAUAUACAGAUGGCACAACCUUGCUUGCUGAAAGCGAGGAGGACUUGAAGAACUUACUGAUGAAAAUCAAAAACUAUAGCCUUCAGUAUGGAUUACACCUCAACAUAAAGAAAGCCAAAAUCCUCACAACUGGACCAAUAAGCAACACCAUGAUUGUGAUGGUUAAGGUUGUGCGUCAACUUGGCUGGGCCAUGAUUAUCAGUGUUUGGCUAUUAUGAUAUAGUUUGGAAGCUAUGUAAUGAUGUGGUCACCUCCAUAAUGAGAUCUGAUAAAAUGUAAUCACCUCCAUGAUGAAUCAGCUAUGAGCAGCCAAUCAGCUGAAAGGGAGUUUCCUUGAGGGUGUGACCUGCAUCCAACAUAUGUGGACUUUCUGGCAAAGCUCUCUGGCUUUUGCUCACUCUGGGUCCUCAUCUGACCUCUAGCAGUUGGGAAGUAAGCUAGCAGCUUACCUUCCGAUCUUGGAUUCAUCAGCCUUCCCAUCCCAUGAGUUAGUAGCCUCCUGCCUAACCUGUGGAUCUUGGGUUCUUCAGCUCCUGCAGCUACGCAAGUCAGGAGAAGCCUCUAGCCUGACACCCAGCCCAUGGACUUAGGACUUGCCAACCUCUACAAUGACAUGAGCAAUUUCUUUGAGAUAAAUCUCUCUUUGCAUAUAGAUAUUUAUAUGUAUAUGUUUCGCUUCUCUAGAGAACCCAUUCUAAGACAAUGAUAAACAGAGAAAAUAUUGAAGUUAUCAACAAUUUCACUUUACUUGGAUCCACAAUCAACACCUAUGGAAAUAGCAGUCAGGAAAUCAAAUGAUGUAUUGCAUUGGGCAAAUCGGCUGGAAAAGACCUCUUUCAGGUGUUAAAAAGCAAAUAUGUCACCUUGAGGACUGUCUUAGACUGUGUUCUCUAGAGAAGCAAAACCAGUGAAAUGUACAUAUAGAGAGAGAACAAUUCUCAGUGAUUUGGCAGUUAUGUAAUGAUGUAGUUUGGCAGUUAUGUAAUUUGGCAGUUACAUAAUGAUGUAGUCAUCCUCCAUAAUGUGAUCUGAUGUGAUCAGCCAAUCAGUUGUAAGGGGAGUUUCCUUGAGGGUGUGGUCUAUAUCCAGUAUAUAUAUGGAUGUUCUAGCCAAGUUUGCUCACUUGCUCUGGAUCCUGCAUCUAGCUCAUCAUCAUCUGACCUCUGGUUCUUGGGACUUGAGCCAGCAGGCUGCCAUAUUGCCUGCUAAUCUUGGGAUUCAUCAAGCUCUGCAGCCUGUGAGCCAGAAGCCUGCCAUCUUACCUGCUGAUCUUACCAGCCAACUUAGCCAUCACAAGGACUAAGGUUUGCCUGACCCAAGUCAUGGUAUUUUCAAUUGCCUCAUAUGCAUGCGAAAGCUGGACAAUGAAUAAGAAAGACCAAAGAAGAAUUGAUGUAUUUAAAUUACAGUUUUGGUGAGGAAUAUUGACUAUACCAUGAACUGCCAGAAGAACAAACAAAUGUGUCUUGGAAGAAGUACAGCCAGAAUGCUCCUUAGAAGCAAGGAUGAUGAGACUGCAUCUCACAUACUUUGGACAUGUUAUCAGGAGGGACCAGUCUCUGGAGAAAGACAUCAUGCUUGGUAAAGUAGAGGGUCAGUGGAAAAGAGGAGGACCCUCAACAAGAUGGAUUGACACAGUGGUUGCAACAGUGGGCUCAAACAUAGCAAUGAUUGUGAAGAUGGCGCAGGAUUGGACAGUGUUUUGUUCUGUUGUGCAGAGGGUCACUAUGAGCUGGAACAGACUCGAUGGCACCUAACAACAAUAACAUCAGUAUAGGAUUCUGGGUCCUGGAUGAUUUCUUGCCUGUCCCCCAGUGACAUAAGGAUUUUUCUUCUACCUUCACCCAGCCACAGUGAGUUUUCACUUGUUCCUGGAAGAGAAGGGUGUAUUAGCUCUCUCCCAGUGGAUUAAAGAUUUUGCUUCAUAAGGGAGAAGAAUCCGAGAAAGUGGGCAAAGCUUCGUGCCCUUCUCCAGCAGCUGAAGAUCACCUUCUGCAGACCUGCACCACUAAGCAGCCACUGGUAGUGAACACAUCAUGGAAGUGGGUGCGAACUCCUUUGCAUCUGGGGCCCCCAGCUCUUCCCGACUGAUGUGUGAGCCCCCUCUUGGCCUUUAACAGUUUAUUUACAAUUGUACCUGAUUUCGUCUUACCCUGCAGUGCUCUGCCACAGGUAAGACGGUUUGUGUGUCCUGUCUCUCUUUGCAGGGGUUGGUCCCUCUUCGGGACUCAGGUUACUUGGUUGUCUUGCAAGUUCAGCUUUUUGAUGAGCUCAGGAAAAGAUAGAGAUACAACUAAUGUAUUACUUUCCUACCACUGCUGUAAGAAAUCACCACAAACAGAAUUGCUUAAAAGAACAUAAUUUAUUAUCUUAAGAGUUCUGGAUGUCGGAAGUCCAAAGAUAUGAUAAAAAAUCAUCAUAAUAAUAGUUCUCCAUAGCCCUUCAAGGUUGAGAUGAUCUCGGAGGCAGAGUGGAACCCAGACUUUCUCUGCCUGCUGUCCUCAGGCCAAUUUGCCGUCUCCAGACUCCCUGGCGCAAACAGCGAAGCACUCAACUUCUAACAAAAAGGUUGGCUUUUGGGUUCCCCCGAAGUCUUCUUCGAAGAGAGAUCUGGCAAUCUCCUGAGAGGUGACGACAGCCUUGAAAAGCCCUGUGGGGUGCAGCUCUACUCUGGCACACAUGGGAUCGCCAGGAGGCAGAACCGACUUUUUUUUGUGGUACUUGCUGCCUCAGCAUCUAUUCAUUCUGCCUAGCUGCCCUUUCACCUAGAUUCCAACAUGGCCACCUCAGUCUUGUCAUCCAGUCUUAAAACAGUGGUGGUCACUCCUUGCCCCUCCUGGCCAUGCCCCAUAUGGUUUCUUGGGAUAGGAAUCUGUUACUAUCUCAUAACUCAGUCUCUCAGCAGUAUAGUUAUUUCUUGUCCCUCCCAGUCACACCCCCUAUAGUUUCCAUUAUAAAAUAAUUCUCCCUUUUCCCAAGCUAAGGCCCUAGAAACUUUUAAACCUAUGAAUAAGACUUCAGUGUGCACUGACCCUGAGACCCCACCCUGCUUGCCAUAUAUAAGUCCUCUCCUACAGUUGCAGCUUGUUGUUGUCUUGCCCACGUGUACAACAGCCAUGUGGCCAGUGUUGGAGUGUGCUGAAGCUUCGUCUCUGGGACUUGUGAGGACUAAAUUCUAUUUGUUUUCUGGCCUUCCUGUGUGAGGCUCACUUCCUUGCACCACACCUGACAGACCAUCCACAGACCCUCUUUGGGUCAAAACUAAUAUACUUGCCUUGUUCCACAUGACUCUGAGCACAGAUCUGACUUCUGGACCCCAAAGUCACUCACUGAGAAAUGCUCUCUAUCCUAUACCCACCCAAUGAGCCAGACCCUCCUCUGGAUGGCUCCAGAGGGCCCUGGGGGCUCUUCCCCCAUAGGUACCUUCACGGGGUGAGGCAGUGAGAAGCCACUUUUACCAGCACUAUGGAAGAGCACAAUGCCUACUAGCUCCCACAAAGCUGGGGGUGAACAGGCUGCUCCCCAUCCCUGCUCUCAGUCAUCUAAGGGCUCAGUCAGGCUCCUCUGGGGAAGCUUCUUCUGUAAGCUAAGGGUCUCACUCCAGGCUCCCAGAAAGUCCUCUAAAAGAGUUUUAGAUGUCUCUACUAGUGAGCCAUGACCUCCCCUUUCCACCUUGCCCACUGUCUUAGUUAUCCAGGGCUGCCGUAACAGAAAUACCACAAGUGGGUGGCUUUAAGAGAAAUUUUUUUUUUAUUGUGCUUUAAGUGAAAGUUUACAAAUCAAGUCAGUAUCUCACACAAAAAUUUAUAUACACCUUGCUAUGUACUCCUAGUUGCUCUCCCCCUAAUGAGAAAGCACACUCCUCCUCUCCACCCUGUAUUCCCAUGUCCAUUCAGCCAGCUUCUGUCCUCCUCUGCCUUCUCAUCUCCCCUCCAGACAGGAGCUGCCCACAUAGUCUCACAUGUCUACUUGAGCCAAGAAGCUCGCUCCUCACCAGUAUCAUUUUCUGUCUUAUAGUCGAGUCCAAUCCCUGUCUGAAGAGUUGGCUUUGGAAAUGGUUCCAGUCUUGGGCUAACAGAAGGCCUAGGGACCAGGACCUCUGGGGUCCUUCUAGUCUCAGUCAGACCAUUAAGUCUGGUGUUUUUACAAGAAUUUGAGGUGUACAUCCCACUGUUCUCCUGCUCCAUUAGGGAUUCUCCGUUGUGUUCCCUGUCUGGGCAGUCAUCGGUUGUAGCCAGGCACCAUCUAGUUCUUCUGGUCUCUGGCUGAUGUAGUCUUUUAUUCACGCGGUAACAAACAGAAAUUUAUUCUCUCACAGUUUAGGAAGCUAGAAGUCUGAAUUCAGAGUGCCUGCUCCAGGGGAAGGCUUUCUCUCUGUCUGCUCUGGAGGAAGGUCUUUGUCUCUUUCUGAGCUUCUGCUCCUGGACAAUGUUCAUGUGGCUUGACAUCUCUCUUCCCCCCUUCUCCUCUGCUUGCUUGUUUAGUCUCUUUUAUAUCUCAAAAGAGAUUGACUCAAUAUACACCCUAAACUAAUCCGGCCUCAUUAACAUAACAAAGACAACCCAUUCCCAAAUAGAAUGAUAACCACAGGCACAGAGGUUAGGAUUUACAAUACAUAUCUUGAGGGGCCAUAAUUCAAUCCAUAACAGCCACUCUGGCCUACACUCAAAUUCUCAAACUUUAGUAGAAGAGUUACCUUACAAUUCAGAUUCCUAAAUUCACCCUCAGAGAUUUGUUUUCAAAGGUGGCAAGUGUGCCCCAGAAAUCUGCCUGCUUUACAAACAUUCCUUGAUUCCUAGAAGAAACUUUGCUUUAGACCUUACCAGACCUGGGCAACAUUUACAGAAAUCCAUUUUUAUCAGGCAAAAUCCUACAGAACCCAGAAGUGUGUUAAAAUCUCACAUGUUCUCACACCUGCUAAGUUAGAGAAGCCAAACACGAUAAAGGAAUUCCCGUAUGAUUCUAUUUAUACAAAGUUCUACAACAGGCAAAGUUAAUCUGUUACAGAAUUUACAUCAGUGGCCAGCCGGGGCAAGGAGGGAACUUUCUAGAGAAAUGUAGGUAUUUUCUAAAUCUUAACUGGAUGGUGGUCACUCAGUGUAUACAUUUGUCAAAAGUCAUCAACCUGUGCACUUGAAA
This is a long non-coding RNA of Loxodonta africana (African savanna elephant), 6333 nucleotides long. RefSeq lists it as uncharacterized. NCBI's taxonomy places the organism in Eukaryota, Metazoa, Chordata, Mammalia, Proboscidea, Elephantidae. The record is from RefSeq and is a predicted model, not a curated record. The transcript is spliced from 2 exons.